Molecule: ribosomal RNA, 23 nt
Filed under: Apiospora jatrophae
Lineage: Eukaryota; Fungi; Ascomycota; Sordariomycetes; Amphisphaeriales; Apiosporaceae
Description: Arthrinium jatrophae partial 18S ribosomal RNA
Source: RNAcentral
UCCGUAGGGUAACCUGCGGAGGG